ACCSSGSGGGYRAUUKYCUUUAKUWGCGGCGAGUGAAGCGGCAAUAGCUCAAAUUUGAAAUCUGGCACCUUCGGUGUCCSASUUGUAAUUUGAAGAAGGUAUCUUUGGUUUUGGCUCUUGUCUAUGUUCCUUGGAACAGGACGUCACAGAGGGUGAGAAUCCCGUGCGAUGAGAUGCCCAAUUCCAUGUAAAGUUCCUUCGACGAGUCGAGUUGUUUGGGAAUGCAGCUCUAAGUGGGUGGUAAAUUCCAUCUAAAGCUAAAUAUUGGCGAGAGACCGAUAGCGAACAAGUACUGUGAAGGAAAGAUGAAAAGAACUUUGAAAAGAGAGUGAAAAAGUACGUGAAAUUGUUGAAAGGGAAGGGCUUGAGGUCAGACUUGGUUUUACCAGGCCAGCAUCAGUUUGGAUGGCAGGAUAAUAGCUUAGGAAUGUGGCACUGCUUCGGUAGUGUGUUAUAGCCUGGGUUGAUACUGCCUGUCUAGACUGAGGACUGCGUCUUUGACUAGGAUGCUGGCAUAAUGACCUUAAGCCGCCCGUCUUGAAACACRGACCA
Molecule: ribosomal RNA, 552 nt
Filed under: Yamadazyma mexicana
Lineage: Eukaryota; Fungi; Ascomycota; Pichiomycetes; Serinales; Debaryomycetaceae
Description: partial large subunit ribosomal RNA
Rfam family: Eukaryotic large subunit ribosomal RNA
Source: RNAcentral